RNAcentral lists this non-coding RNA (139 nucleotides) under Platyophrya macrostoma. The record is from RNAcentral. Lineage: Eukaryota; Ciliophora; Colpodea; Cyrtolophosidida; Platyophryidae.
AGAAAGAAAAGAAGUAAAUAAAGAAAGAACGAGAAGAUACCAAUUAGCUUUCUUCACAUUUUUCUUUAAAAAAAAAUCAAUUUUUUGUUAUUGCCAUCGUUUGUACCACGCCAUCUUUAGAACAAACGAAAAGAAAAGA